AGUCGAGCGGGGAAGGUAGCUUGCUACCUAACCUAGCGGCGGACGGGUGAGUAAUGCUUAGGAAUCUGCCUAUUAGUGGGGACAACAUUCCGAAAGGAAUGCUAAUACCGCAUACGCCCUACGGGGGAAAGCAGGGGAUCUUCGGACCUUGCGCUAAUAGAUGAGCCUAAGUCAGAUUAGCUAGUUGGUGGGGUAAAGGCCUACCAAGGCGACGAUCUGUAGCGGGUCUGAGAGGAUGAUCCGCCACACUGGGACUGAGACACGGCCCAGACCCCUACGGGAGGCAGCAGUGGGGAAUAUUGGACAAUGGGCGAAAGCCUGAUCCAGCCAUGCCGCGUGUGUGAAGAAGGCCUUUUGGUUGUAAAGCACUUUAAGCGAGGAGGAGGCUACUUACAUUAAUACUCUAGGAUAGUGGACGUUACUCGCAGAAUAAGCACCGGCUAACUCUGUGCCAGCAGCCGCGGUAAUACAGAGGGUGCGAGCGUUAAUCGGAUUUACUGGGCGUAAAGCGUGCGUAGGCGGCUUUUUAAGUCGGAUGUGAAAUCCCUGAGCUUAACUUAGGAAUUGCAUUCGAUACUGGGAAGCUAGAGUAUGGGAGAGGAUGGUAGAAUUCCAGGUGUAGCGGUGAAAUGCGUAGAGAUCUGGAGGAAUACCGAUGGCGAAAGCAGCCAUCUGGCCUAAUACUGACGCUGAGUACGAAAGCAUGGGGAGCAAACAGGAUUAGAUACCCUGGUAGUCCAUGCCGUAAACGAUGUCUACUAGCCGUUGGGGCCUUUGAGGCUUUAGUG
Molecule: ribosomal RNA, 788 nt
Filed under: uncultured bacterium
Lineage: Bacteria
Description: bacterial SSU rRNA
Rfam family: Bacterial small subunit ribosomal RNA
Source: RNAcentral